This is a non-coding RNA of Gasterosteus aculeatus aculeatus (three-spined stickleback), 268 nucleotides long. The record is from RefSeq and is a predicted model, not a curated record. Lineage: Eukaryota; Metazoa; Chordata; Actinopteri; Perciformes; Gasterosteidae.
CUUUAAUCCUCAUCACACAGCUGUUAGAAAUACUAGAAUUAGAUGAUUCAAAGUCAAUGCAAACUGUCUUGAAUCAAACAAGAUUCAUAAUUUCAGAUGAAUCCAGCCUCCCGUAUUCUGUGGUUGAGCUCAAACACCUUAAAAAGAAGGAGAAGCACGAUGAACCAGACGAGAGCCCCGUUUACUCGGAUGUGAGGAUCCCAUCAGCUGCAGGAAAAUCCAGAUGUGCAGCAGAAGAGGAAACUCUUUAUUCUGAAGUCAAACCCAG